ACCUUUUGUCAGUCCUAGAAACACUGAUGAAUAAGGGGUGGGCAAGUUCUGGUGUCAGCCGCCGCGGUAAAACCAGCACCUCAAGUGGUCAGGAUGAUUAUUGGGCCUAAAGCAUCCGUAGCCGGCUCUGUAAGUUUUCGGUUAAAUCUGUACGCUCAACGUACAGGCUGCCGGGAAUACUGCAGAGCUAGGGAGUGGGAGAGGUAGACGGUACUCGGUAGGAAGGGGUAAAAUCCUUUGAUCUAUUGAUGACCACCUGUGGCGAAGGCGGUCUACCAGAACACGUCCGACGGUGAGGGAUGAAAGCUGGGGGAGCAAACCGGAUUAGAUACCCGG
Molecule: ribosomal RNA, 336 nt
Filed under: archaeon M1SMI
Lineage: Archaea
Description: bacterial SSU rRNA
Rfam family: Archaeal small subunit ribosomal RNA
Source: RNAcentral